This 600-nucleotide ribosomal RNA is filed under the name uncultured Streptomyces sp. RNAcentral describes it as "bacterial SSU rRNA". It matches the Rfam family "Bacterial small subunit ribosomal RNA", at positions 40 to 657 of the family's 1533-position model. The record is from RNAcentral. Lineage: Bacteria; Bacillati; Actinomycetota; Actinomycetes; Kitasatosporales; Streptomycetaceae.
CGGCGUGCUUACCAUGCAAGUCGAACGAUGAAGCCCUUCGGGGUGGAUUAGUGGCGAACGGGUGAGUAACACGUGGGCAAUCUGCCCUUCACUCUGGGACAAGCCCUGGAAACGGGGUCUAAUACCGGAUACGACCCGCCGAGGCAUCUCGGUGGGUGGAAAGCUCCGGCGGUGAAGGAUGAGCCCGCGGCCUAUCAGCUUGUUGGUGGGGUAACGGCCCACCAAGGCGACGACGGGUAGCCGGCCUGAGAGGGCGACCGGCCACACUGGGACUGAGACACGGCCCAGACUCCUACGGGAGGCAGCAGUGGGGAAUAUUGCACAAUGGGCGAAAGCCUGAUGCAGCGACGCCGCGUGAGGGAUGACGGCCUUCGGGUUGUAAACCUCUUUCAGCAGGGAAGAAGCGCAAGUGACGGUACCUGCAGAAGAAGCGCCGGCUAACUACGUGCCAGCAGCCGCGGUAAUACGUAGGGCGCAAGCGUUGUCCGGACAUUAUUGGGCGUAAAGAGCUCGCUAGGCGGCUUGUCACGUCGGGUGUGAAAGCCCGGGGCUUAACCCCGGGUCUGCAUCCGAUACGGGCAGGCUAGAGUGUGGUAGGGG